GGGCCCGCACAAGCGGUGGAGCAUGUGGUUUAAUUCGAUGAUACGCGAGGAACCUUACCAGGGCUUAAAUGCAUAAUGACAGGGGUAGAGAUACCCUUUUCUUCGGACAUUUUGCAAGGUGCUGCAUGGUUGUCGUCAGCUCGUGCCGUGAGGUGUCAGGUUAAGUCCUAUAACGAGCGCAACCCCUGUGGUUAGUUGCCAGCGAGUAAUGUCGGGAACUCUAGCCAGACUGCCGGUGCAAACCGCGAGGAAGGUGGGGAUGACGUCAAAUCAUCACGGCCCUUACGCCCUGGGCCACACACGUGCUACAAUGGCAGGUACAGCAAGCAGCCACUCCGCGAGGAGGAGCGAAUCUGUAAAGCCUGUCACAGUUCGGAUAGGAGUCUGCAACUCGACUCCUUGAAGUUGGAGUCGCUAGUAAUCG
Molecule: ribosomal RNA, 424 nt
Filed under: uncultured bacterium
Lineage: Bacteria
Description: bacterial SSU rRNA
Rfam family: Bacterial small subunit ribosomal RNA
Source: RNAcentral